Non-coding RNA from Lepisosteus oculatus (spotted gar), 4045 nucleotides. Lineage: Eukaryota; Metazoa; Chordata; Actinopteri; Semionotiformes; Lepisosteidae. The record is from RefSeq and is a predicted model, not a curated record.
UCACAGAUGCGACGCGCGGAGUGAAGAGCUGUUUGAGGUUGGUGGGAUACACGUGUGUGGUGUUUGUGUUACCGUUUCCUAAACAGUUAUCGCCAUGGCAGCGGCUCGAGAGUGUAAUAAAAGAAGCAAGAAGCAGUUCACGAGCUGUCCUGCCAAGAAGCCGAGGAGCUCGCGGGAGCUGGAGGUGGGGAUGCAGGGGAUCCUCAUCACCUGCAACAUGAACGAGAGGAAGUGCACGGCAGAGGCCUACAGCCUGCUGAACGAAUAUGCCGAUGAGCUGUAUGGACCGGAGAAGUUUACAGAAGAGGAAGAGGGGGACAGCGAUGGGGAGGACUGGGGCGAUGAAGAUGAUGCCGAGGCGGCCGUGAAGAAGGAAGCGAAACAAAUCACUAUGGCAACGCAGAAGAGAGAGAGACGCUUCCAGGCGCUGGCCAGUGGGGCGAACAACGUGGUUUUCAUAAGGACACAGAACAUAGAUCCUGCCAAGCUGGUAUACCAUAUUCUCCAAGACUUGCACACAACCAAGAAGAAGAAAUCCCGAGUGAUCUUGAGGAUGCUCCCUGUGAGCGGCACCUGCAAGGCCUUCAUUGAAGACAUGGAGAAGUACCUCACAACCUUUCUGGAGCCCUGGUUCAAGAGCCCCAGCCAGGGCACCUUUCAGAUUGUCUUCAAGGCUCGGAACAGCAGUCAUGCAAAAAGAGAGGAAGUCAUUAAAGUUUUGGGAGGGUUGGUAGGGAAAUUGAAUCCUAAGAAUAAAGUGGACCUCACCAACCCUGAGUACACCAUCAUAAUCGAGAUCAUUAAGACCGUGUGCUGCGUGAGUGUGGUGCAGAACUACGUCUUGUUCAGGAAGUUUAACGUGCAGGAAGUGAUCAAAAACGAUGAGAAGAAAGAACAGACGCAGCCAGCUGAGAGCUGCGAGGGGCGACUCCCGACAGCAGAGCACGGGUCAGCCGAGGACAGCGAGAAGAGAGAAGGGCAGGAAGGGGGAGAGGGCGCUGCAGAUCCCCAGCGCUCGCUCACCAGUGCGCAAUGACACUUUCCACCCUACAGCGCACCUUAACGACAACAGCAAGCCUGUCCGGGAUUAGGCCAAGCACAGCCGAGCAGUGACUUCGCCAAGAUAUCAUGGAGCAAAUCUGGGUCCGUUACGGAAGAGUACUGCCAGACUUGUUGGCGACAUCCUGCAGCGACUGCAUGUACCUUGUACCACACAGCAGCUCUUCACACCCAACAGGCUGAAGCAGAGGUCCAUUUGUCUAAUGAGGCUUGCGGGUUGUGUCCUCCAGGGAGCCUGUGGGCCCACGUCACUGGGGCUUCAGUCACACGCCACUGCUUACUGGUGACGGGGCCUGUCCCUUGUGCACCUGUCUCUCCUAUACACUCAUCACCAGGCUGGAGUACAGCUCGAUCAGUGAAUUUUGCAGGGAAAUACCUGACAAAGACUUCAGCAGUACUCAGUCAAGGUUUUUUUUGUUGGUCUGCUGAAGCAAGAUUUAAGCUCCCAUCUCCUCUGCAAGUCUCACGUUCUGCUCGGCGGUGAUGGGGUAGAGGUGCAGCGAUGACUCCAGUUCAGCUGAAAUCAGUCUGGGUGAAACCAAGGAACCAUUGACCCUGGGAGGCAGGAGCGGGUUAAGUGGGCGGCCGCGGGUGGACCUACAUUGUGUCUCUCUUUGGGAAAGGACAGCCGUAGCAGGAAGUUGCACCAAAUCGCCAAUUAUUUUUUAUCCUAAGCCCACCCGAUCUGGAAUCGUCUGCCCCCCCACCCCUGGAGCCUCUGUGCCCCCUGCCUGCGGAGCUGCAUGAGGACCAGGCUGCUCAUCGGUGUGCCUCACAGUGGAGUCUGGGUCUCGGGUGAUAAUUAUCCUGCAGCUCAGAGCUCUGUGUACAGGGAGAGGUUAAUUUACCCCCUGUCCUAAAAUAGCAUUUUUACAUUUUUGUAAUAUUCUUUUAUAUUACUCUGUUUGGUUUAUAUUAUUACAAUUUUUUUAAACUUGAUGAGUGUAGUUAAUUGGGCUCAUGAUAUACAUGAAACUUGUGGUGUAUAUGAAUGAUCUAGCUAGGUCCCCAACAGGCAGAAUUAAAAUCUGGACACUUGUAGACAGGCGAAGAGUUCAAUUAAGUAAGUAUUAAUUUGUUGCAGUCUGUAAUUGAAAAUAUGAAUAUAUGGCAAUAAAAUAAAGCUUUUAUUAAGAAUGUUUUCCAGUAUCAAUGUGUACCAAUGACACAUUGCCACCUGCGGGAAGUCUCAGGGAUGACCUCUUCACUCCGAGCUGAAGGUCCCAGCAGCUCCAUCACUAACGGCCCCGUCAGCUGUGCUUCUCCACUCCCAGCUGGCAUGACAGGAGGCUUCCGGUAACGAGGUCUGUGGACUGGUGGGACGUCAUUCACACUGCAGAGCAGCAGUCCCUCGUCUCCAUAGACCCACGUGAUCUUGUCCGUCUCCCUCUCUGCCUCAUCGCAGCCGCUGGCGCCCCCCGGAGUCAAGGCCAAGCUGCAGUGUGGAGCCUAGCCUGGCAGAGGACUGGUAGUGACAGUAGCCGUCGCCACGAGACCAGCAUAGCAACCUGACUCCUCUUUCGAGUACUUGGAUUAAAAAGGAGAUCCAAAGUGCUUUAAUUUUCUCAAAAGUAAAACAAAAGAAUUCCCAGUAAAAUCUAAUUUUUUGAAGUGAUAUGGAACCUAAAAACAGAUUACUGAUUGCACAAUUCCAUCAGCACGUAGGGUCUAGAAUUCGGGUUAGUGUUGAAUGGAAUAAUGAUACUUGAAUAACAUUAAAUGAAAAACUGAAGACCCAUUUUGAUUUGGUAUAAUUCUAAAGGUAUGAAGCUGGGGUAAAGGUGACUGAAUUUCUCCUCAUUGUCUGAAUCUUUCUCCCUCCAGUAAGCGGUGUUGAAAUGUCACACAGACAGCAGGGGCUGGAAAGCAUGCCGCUGUGUUAUCAAUGCUGAUUAAUUGUGCAUUAAUUGAUGAGGGAUUUGCAUCACCCAGCAGUCUGCUAUAGCCUGCCUUUUCAAACACAGUCUGCUCCUGCCUUCGUGAUGUUUUAAUUUACAGCCGAAGUCCUGCAGAAGUCACACCAGAGGUUUUUUCUGCUAAUUACCCUUUCAGACCUAUUUAAUGCUGAAUACAGAUAAUUAUCCCUGCUCCCUGUAGCUCAUGGGCAUCCAACCAGUCAAAUCUGUCUUUCAGGCUUUGUGGGGAGUAACACUUGUGUUAAAGGUCAGAAGUAUUUGAAACAAUGAUACAGGCUCCAGUGGUACACAUUCCCAUAUGACCAAACUCGCAUUCAUUAUAGAAAGUGCAAACUGUUUCAUUGACCUUUAUGAUCCACAGAGACCUUCUCUAUUCCACUGGGCCAUAAACAUGUCAUACCUUCUGUCCUUUUCUUCCAUUUUGUUUGGCAACAGUCUCAUUUUCUCUACUUCUGUGGAACAGUAGAAUUUGCUGCUCAUAAAUACCUGCAGUUUGGCAGUUUUUCCUUAACACUGUUGAAAAUAUUACGGAGGAUUUUAAAAGAUUCAGUGAAAGAAUUGAAUACACUAUUGUUGCAGAUCUGUCUUUAAAUGACAGAGAGGUCUUUCCUAAAGGAAAUAUAACCGGAAGGGGAAUCUCUGGGCCAAGGCUGAGGCUCUCUGUGGUCCAGAUCCUGCUGUGCUUACCUGGUCUCCCAGUUUGCCAAAUCUCCCAGCUCCUUUCCCAGUGGUAGCCCAGCAGAACUCACUGCGGCGCUGACUGGUGGUUGCCUGGGUCUAGCAGAGAAUGACACCCUCCUGUGUUCCGUACCGAUUUACAGACAAACCUCGUUGAACCCACUGGUGACGGAUCACCCAGCCGCACCUGUGUGCACUUAGUUCGACUCUAAAAUGUCUAAAGGUUUUCGCAAAAAGAAAAUGUCAUCACCUCAACUUAACAAAACCUGUAAAAUGCAGCCAAAAACCCAGUCACAGUUUAUAUAUAAUCGUUAAAAUGUUAUAAAAAAUGAAUAAUCCUUAGAGCAUUAUAGGAGAACAAAUAUACAUUUCCCAUUGAGUUUGCAAUGUUG